This 270-nucleotide ribosomal RNA is filed under the name Triticum aestivum (bread wheat). RNAcentral's name for it is "partial small subunit ribosomal RNA". The record is from RNAcentral. Lineage: Eukaryota; Viridiplantae; Streptophyta; Magnoliopsida; Poales; Poaceae.
AUGUCACCAAGUGACUCAAAAUGGCCGUUUGUGUUGAAAAGGAGCCAGUACCCAAUAUCAGUUUGUUUUGCAAUGACAAUAAAUAAGAGUCAAGGGCAGUCGCUAAAACAUGUGGGGCUAUAUUUACCAAAGCAGGUGUUCACACAGGGCCAACUCUAUGUAGCGGUAUCAAGAGUCACAAGUAGAGAUGGACUUAAAGUUUUAAUUUCAGAUGAAGAAUCUAAGGAAAAUAAUUCGGCAAAAAAUAUUGGGUACAAGGAGAUCCUUUAG